GGUAACGUGGGGAGGAGCUUGCUCCACCCUGACGACGAGUGGCGAACGGGUGAGUAAUACAUCGGAACGUGUCCGCUCGUGGGGGACAACCAGCCGAAAGGUUGGCUAAUACCGCAUGAGUUCUACGGAAGAAAGAGGGGGACCCGCAAGGGCCUCUCGCGAGCGGAGCGGCCGAUGACUGAUUAGCCAGUUGGUGAGGUAACGGCUCACCAAAGCAACGAUCAGUAGCUGGUCUGAGAGGACGACCAGCCACACUGGGACUGAGACACGGCCCAGACUCCUACGGGAGGCAGCAGUGGGGAAUUUUGGACAAUGGGCGCAAGCCUGAUCCAGCUAUUCCGCGUGUGGGAUGAAGGCCCUCGGGUUGUAAACUACUUUUGUAGAGAACGAAAAGACAUCUUCGAAUAAAGGAUGUUGCUGACGGUACUCUAAGAAUAAGCACCGGCUAACUACGUGCCAGCAGCCGCGGUAAUACGUAGGGUGCGAGCGUUAAUCGGAAUUACUGGGCGUAAAGGGUGCGCAGGCGGUUGAGUAAGACAGAUGUGAAAUCCCCGAGCUUAACUCGGGAAUGGCAUAUGUGACUGCUCGACUAGAGUGUGUCAGAGGGAGGUGGAAUUCCACGUGUAGCAGUGAAAUGCGUAGAUAUGUGGAAGAACACCGAUGGCGAAGGCA
RNAcentral lists this ribosomal RNA (672 nucleotides) under uncultured beta proteobacterium. Its description in RNAcentral is "bacterial SSU rRNA". It matches the Rfam family "Bacterial small subunit ribosomal RNA", at positions 64 to 723 of the family's 1533-position model. The record is from RNAcentral. Lineage: Bacteria; Pseudomonadati; Pseudomonadota; Betaproteobacteria.